AGUUAAACGGCCGCGGUAUUCUGACCGUGCGAAGGUAGCAUAAUCACUUGUUCUUUAAAUAAGGACUAGUAUCAACGGCAUCACGAGGGUUAUACUGUCUCCUCUUUCCAAUCAGUGAAACUGAUCUCCCCGUGAAGAAGCGGGGAUAAACCUAUAAGACGAGAAGACCCCAUGGAGCUUUAAACUCAACAACAACUCCCUAUACAAAGUACUAAAUAUUAUGGAAGCCCUGUCUGUUAGUUUUGGGUUGGGGUGACCGCGGAGAAAAACUAAACCUCCACGACGAACGGAAUUAACUCCUAAUCUAAGAGCAACUACUCUAAGAAUCAAUAAAUUGACAUAAACUGAUCCGAUAAUCGAUCAACGAACCAAGUUACCCUGGGGAUAACAGCGCAAUCCAUUUCAAGAGCCCCUAUCGACAAAUGGGUUUACGACCUCGAUGUUGGAUCAGGGUAUCCCAGUGGUGCAGCCGCUACUAAAGGUU
Molecule: ribosomal RNA, 484 nt
Filed under: Nanorana yunnanensis (Yunan spiny frog)
Lineage: Eukaryota; Metazoa; Chordata; Amphibia; Anura; Dicroglossidae
Description: partial 16S ribosomal RNA
Rfam family: Bacterial large subunit ribosomal RNA
Source: RNAcentral